Non-coding RNA from Cricetulus griseus (Chinese hamster), 73 nucleotides. The record is from Rfam. Lineage: Eukaryota; Metazoa; Chordata; Mammalia; Rodentia; Cricetidae.
GGAGAGAUGGCUCAGUGGUUAAGAGCACUGACUGUUCUUCCACAGGUCCUGAGUUCAAUUCUCAGCAACCCCA